Molecule: ribosomal RNA, 423 nt
Filed under: Epyris sp.
Lineage: Eukaryota; Metazoa; Arthropoda; Insecta; Hymenoptera; Bethylidae
Description: partial large subunit ribosomal RNA
Source: RNAcentral
AAAACAUCUCUUUAUGAUUAUAAUUUUAAGUAGACUCUGCCCAAUGAUUAUUUAUUAAAUGGCUGCAGUAUUUUGACUGUACAAAGGUAGCAUAAUAAAUUGUUUUUUAAUUGAAAACUUGAAUGAAAGAGGUGAUAAAAUAUAAACUUUAUUUAAAUAAAUUAAUGAAUUUUUUUUUUAAGUUAAAAAUCUUAAAUAUUUUUAAGGGACGAGAAGACCCUAUAGAAUUUUAUAUAAUUUAAUUUUAAAUUAAAAAAUUAAAUUUAUAUUUUUUUGGGAGGAAAUUUAAAUUAAUAAACUUUAUUUAAUUAAUUACAUAAAUUUAUGGUUAAUAUUAUAGAUUUUAUUUUAAUAAAUUAUAGAUUAAAUUACCUUAGGGAUAACAGCGUAAUAUUUUUUGAAAGUUCUUAUAGAAAAAAAUGA